Molecule: long non-coding RNA, 1608 nt
Organism: Erpetoichthys calabaricus (reedfish)
Lineage: Eukaryota; Metazoa; Chordata; Cladistia; Polypteriformes; Polypteridae
Exons: 3
Source: RefSeq, a predicted model, not a curated record
AUGACUAAAACGAUUAUACAGAAAAAAUCUCUGAUAUUGUAGACCUAAAGAAUGUCCUGGAAAAAACAGAUCCAUGUCAUGUCAAUGAUUAAUUUUUAUCUGUUACCCUGUGUUGUUUGUAUUGAUACCCAUGAAAACGUUGGAUUGUCAUGUUUUUAUGGAAAGAUAACAAACGUUUUUCAUACAAAUGGGCUUCAAUAGGGGCCAGCAGAAAUAAUUAAAACAUCCAUGAAUAAAUCUCAAUUUGCUUUUGUCACACAAUUCUUAUUAUCCACUUGUAUCCUCACAACAUCCACAACAGAUGAAAUGGACCAAAUGGACGAUCUGUUUAAACCAGGGGAGUUAAAGGAAAAUUCCACCUGGAAAUUAUAUUCUGUUUAAAUGUUACUUACUCCAUGUGCUUUGCAGUGAUGGCUGAGAAAAUUUUUAAAUGUCAUGUUUUCAUGUAGAGAGAAGAUAAUAAAGUUUAUGAUUCAAUGGAAGUGGCAGGUGGCCAAUGCAAUACAACAGCAAACAUCCAUGUAAAGAUUUUCAAAUUACUCGUGUCACAUAAUGUUCAUGUCGAUCAUCCAGUUGUAUGCUCACAACAUCCAAAACAGAUGACCUUUUUCCUAACAUUCUUCUUGCUCUUUCCCACUUGUACAUGGGGUCGAUGUGUUUGAUCCUUCAUCUCCUCACAGCUCGGUCCUGCACCUCCUUGCCAGUCAAGCCCUUCUUCUUCAGAUCUUCUUUGACUUUAUCCAUCCAGCUCCGCUCUGCCCUCCUUUGCUUUCUCUUCCCCUGUACUUCCAUCCCCAUCACUCUUUUGCCCACAUAGUCAUUGUCUGUCCUCAUCACAUGUCUAUACCACUUCAUCCUAUUUUCCUGUCCUUUCUUAGAUUUCUCUCCCACUUCUGUUGUACCUCUGAUUGUCACAUUUCUUUUCCAUCUUUUUCUGUAACUCCACACGUCCAUCUCAACAUUUUCAUUUCUGUCACACCUAACUUUCUCGGCCUGCUCUCCUUUUACUGCCCAUGUCUCAGUUCCAUACAUCAUUGCUGGUCUUACCACUAUUUUAAAAGCCUGACCUAUAACCUUUGUUUUAAUUCUUCAAUCACACAAUACUCCUGAAACCUUCUUCAAAUUGUUCCAUCCACACUGUACUCCAUGGGUUAUCUUUACAUCUAGUUUUCCAUCUUGGACUGCCACUGAUCCUAGAUAUUUAAAUGCAUCCACUCUUUCCAGUAGCUCUCCCUGCAGGCUAACGUCUGAUUCCUGAUCAUCACUAAACCUCAGAUAUUCUGCCGUCUAUCUUUAGAUCUUUAUUCUACCAACUUCUUCUUUUCUGAUGCUACACAACACGAUGUCAUCAGCACAAAGGCUACACCAGGAGGAUUGGCCUUUCAUCCCAUGACUCAGAACAUCCACAAUCAGAUCAAAGAGGUAAGAACCUAAAGAAGACCCCUGGUGCAGAGCCCCUCUAACUGGGGUCAUGCCUGCUACCCCAACAUUGCUUUUAACCCGAGUUCUCACUCAUCCCACAUAUCCUGCACACUCCUCACAUACUUUUCUGGUCCUCCUUUCUCUCUCAUGCACCUCUCGACUUUGUUUCUAUAAUAACGUUAAGUA